UGGAACUUAUGCGAACGGGC
This 20-nucleotide microRNA is filed under the name Ciona intestinalis (vase tunicate). Its description in RNAcentral is "cin-miR-4001h-5p". The record is from miRBase by way of RNAcentral. Lineage: Eukaryota; Metazoa; Chordata; Ascidiacea; Phlebobranchia; Cionidae.